Molecule: ribosomal RNA, 1392 nt
Filed under: Triticum aestivum (bread wheat)
Lineage: Eukaryota; Viridiplantae; Streptophyta; Magnoliopsida; Poales; Poaceae
Description: partial small subunit ribosomal RNA
Source: RNAcentral
AUGUGGACCUCUGUACAAGAACUAGGCUAUAUGUUUGUUACCGCUCACUACAUUGAUGGCAAUUUCAACCUGAAGAAGAAGGUCAUAUCCUUCAAAAAAGUCAAGUAUCCGCACACAAGUGCGGCCAUUGAAGAGACUCUGUGCAAGUGUUUGAAUGAAUGGGGCAUCAAAAGGAAAUUGUUUACUUUGACCUUGGACAAUGCAGCAAACAACAAACCAGCAGUUGACUCAUUUGUGCAACAUCAAGACCAUGGCAUGUUGUUUGGUGGUGUGGAUUUUCAUGUAAGGUGUUUGGCACACAUCCUUAAUAUCUUAGUUCAAGAUGGAACAAGAUAUGUGCACAAGCCCAUAGAAAAAAUCUGUGAACUUUUAAGGCAUAUCACUUCUUCGCCAUCAAGAAUUCAAUCCUUCAAUGUGAUUGCCACAAAUUUGGAUCUUCCUGAAAAGGCUGGUGGCAUAAAUCUUGAUAUUCCAAACCGUUGGAACUCUACAUAUCCAAUGAUUGAAGAAGCUCUGGAAUACAAGGGAGCCCUCAAUAAUUAUGCAAGUGGAAAUGGUGAAAUAGCACCGGACGAUGUGGAGUGGACUAAUGCUGAAGUAAUGUGCACAUUUCUAAAAGCUUUUGAAGAAGCGACAAAGUUAGUAUCAGCCGAUAGAACACCAACAACCCAUCUUUUUUUGCACAUGUUGUUGUGCAUCCACGACGCGCUAAGGGACCCUCAGUGGAGCACUAGUGGCACUAUGUCAAACCUUGUCUAUGCUAUGGGCCAAAAGUUUGAUAAAUACUGGAAAGAGUCAAAACUGAAUGUUGCAGUUGUCAUCACAACGGUGUUAGAUCCAACCAAGAAAUCUGACUUCUUGGAAUUCUUCUUUGAAAAGUAUUGUGAAAAUGUGGAUGAUAUUGAGAAGUGUCUAGAAGGUGUAAAAGACAUGAUGAGGUCAUACUAUGAGAAAUACGAGGAAGCCAGAAGAACCAUCGAGCACUCGGUAUCUCGGCAAGUCAGCGCCAAUAUAGGAUCACCAGUUCUUGGCAAAAGGAGGCUGGAAGAAGAGUUUGCUCAAUACAAGUCAAGAAGGAGGUCCUACAUGCAAGCAAAGUCUGAGCUGGACAUGUAUUUGGAGGAAAAUUUCGACAGCUCCGGGGGAAGUUUAGAUAUUUUGACAUGGUGGAAAACACAUGCUGAAAAAUAUCCCGUGCUCUCAACCAUGGCUCGUGAUUUCCUUGCAAUACCUCUUAGCACCAUGUCAUCUGAAUCAGCAUUCAGUUGCAGUGGAAGGACUUUAGGAGAUUCCCGAUGCUUGAUGACGCCCGAAACUCUUGAGGCUUUAGUUUGCGGAAAAUAUUGGCUUAUCAAAAUUCCAAAUAAUGAAGGCCCAAGUGGGACAGCCUAA